This 404-nucleotide RNase P RNA is filed under the name Methylocapsa palsarum. RNAcentral's name for it is "Bacterial RNase P class A". It matches the Rfam family "Bacterial RNase P class A". Rfam says of the family: Ribonuclease P (RNase P) is a ubiquitous endoribonuclease, found in archaea, bacteria and eukarya as well as chloroplasts and mitochondria. Its best characterised activity is the generation of mature 5'-ends of tRNAs by cleaving the 5'-leader elements of precursor-tRNAs. Cellular RNase Ps are ribonucleoproteins. The record is from Rfam by way of RNAcentral. Lineage: Bacteria; Pseudomonadati; Pseudomonadota; Alphaproteobacteria; Hyphomicrobiales; Beijerinckiaceae.
CCAGCCGGCCGGACGGCCGCCGCUUCUUGCGGAGGAAAGUCCGGGCUCCACGGAGACACGGCGCCGGAUAACGUCCGGCGGGGGCGACCCCAGGGAAAGCGCCACAGAAAACAAACCGCCAAACGGAGCAGGCUUCGGCUUGCGCCGGCAGGUAAGGGUGAAAUGGUGCGGUAAGAGCGCACCGCGCGCAUGGCGACAUGAGCGGCAAGGCAAGCCCCGCCGGGAGCAAAACCGAAUAGGGGCGACGCGAGGUCUUCGCAAGAAGGGUUCUCAGGUCCGUCUCCGGAUCGUCGCCCGGGUGGGUUGCUCGAGGCGGCCGGCAACGGCCGUCCCAGAGGAAUGGCCGUCACGCGCGCGGUUCGCCGCGCGCCAUACAGAACCCGGCUUACAGGCCGGCUGGCGCU